UACGUAGGGUGCGAGCGUUGUCCGGAAUUAUUGGGCGUAAAGGGCUCGUAGGCGGUUUGUCGCGUCGGGAGUGAAACCCUCGGGCUUAACUCGGGGCUUGCUUUCGAUACGGGCAGACUAGAGGUAUGCAGGGGAGAACGGAAUUCCUGGUGUAGCGGUGAAAUGCGCAGAUAUCAGGAGGAACACCGGUGGCGAAGGCGGUUCUCUGGGCAUGAUCUGACGCUGAGGAGCGAAAGUGUGGGGAGCGAACAGG
This 253-nucleotide ribosomal RNA is filed under the name uncultured bacterium. RNAcentral describes it as "partial 16S ribosomal RNA". It matches the Rfam family "Bacterial small subunit ribosomal RNA", at positions 524 to 776 of the family's 1533-position model. The record is from RNAcentral.